Molecule: ribosomal RNA, 800 nt
Filed under: uncultured bacterium
Lineage: Bacteria
Description: bacterial SSU rRNA
Rfam family: Bacterial small subunit ribosomal RNA
Source: RNAcentral
CGCCGGCGAGUGGCGAACGGGUGAGUAAUGCAUCGGAACGUACCCAGUAGUGGGGGAUAACUUACCGAAAGGUAAGCUAAUACCGCAUACGCACUGAGGUGGAAAGCAGGGGACCGCAAGGCCUUGCGCUAUUGGAGCGGCCGAUGUCGGAUUAGCUAGUUGGUGGGGUAAAGGCCUACCAAGGCGACGAUCCGUAGCGGGUCUGAGAGGAUGAUCCGCCACACUGGAACUGAGACACGGUCCAGACUCCUACGGGAGGCAGCAGUGGGGAAUUUUGGACAAUGGGCGCAAGCCUGAUCCAGCCAUGCCGCGUGAGUGAAGAAGGCCUUCGGGUUGUAAAGCUCUUUCGGCCGGGAAGAAAUCGUGGUGGCGAAUACCUGCCAUGGAUGACGGUACCGGACUAAGAAGCACCGGCUAACUACGUGCCAGCAGCCGCGGUAAUACGUAGGGUGCGAGCGUUAAUCGGAAUUACUGGGCGUAAAGCGUGCGCAGGCGGUUGUGUAAGACAGGCGUGAAAUCCCCGGGCUCAACCUGGGAACUGCGCUUGUGACUGCACGGCUAGAGUACGGCAGAGGGGGGUGGAAUUCCACGUGUAGCAGUGAAAUGCGUAGAGAUGUGGAGGAACACCGAUGGCGAAGGCAGCCCCCUGGGUCGAUACUGACGCUCAUGCACGAAAGCGUGGGGAGCAAACAGGAUUAGAUACCCUGGUACUCCACGCCCUACACGAUGUCGACUAGUUGUUGGAGGGGUAAACCCUUUAGUAACGUAGCUAACGCGUGAAGUCGACCGCCUGGGGAGUA